GAUCAAGCGCGAUAAGGGCAUUUGGUGGAUGCCUUGGCACCAGAAGGCGAUGAAGGACGUGGCACUCUGCGAAAAGUUCCGGGGAAUUGAGAGCAAAUGUUGAUCCGGAAAUUUCCGAAUGGGGAAACCCGACCCCCUAGGGGGUCAUCGACAGCUGAAUCCAUAGGCUGGCGAGGCGAACCCGGCGAACUGAAAUAUCUCAGUAGCCGGAGGAAAGGACAUCAACCGAGACUCCGUUAGUAGUGACGAGCGAACGCGGACCAGGCCAUUGGGUCAUGAAGAACAACCGGAACCGUCUGGAAAGUCGGGCCAAAGGGGGUGACAGCCCCGUACGGGUCAUGUCUUCGUGAGCCAUCGAGUAGGGCGGGACACGUGAAAUCCUGUCUGAACAUGGGGGGACCACCCUCCAAGCCUAAGUACUCUCUGGUGACCGAUAGUGAACAAGUACCGUGAGGGAAAGGUGAAAAGCACCCCGAUGAGGGGAGUGAAAAAGAACCUGAAACCGGAUGCCUACAAGCAGUCGGAGGGGAACAUGACGCUACGGCGCCGUGGUGCCCUGACGGCGUACCUUUUGCAUAAUGGGUCAGUGACUUGGUAUCUGCAGCAAGCUUAAGCCGUUAGGUGUAGGCGUAGCGAAAGCGAGUCUGAACAGGGCGUCGAGUUGCAGGUAUCAGACCCGAAACCGGGUGAUCUAGCCAUGGGCAGGUUGAAGGUGCGGUAACACGCACUGGAGGACCGAACCCACGUCUGUUGAAAAAGGCGGGGAUGACCUGUGGCUAGGGGUGAAAGGCCAAUCAAACCCGGAGAUAGCUGGUUCUCCGCGAAAGCUAUUUAGGUAGCGCGUCGUGUAUUGCCCUCGGGGGUAGAGCACUGGAUGGGCUAGGGGGGAGCGAUCCUUACCAAACCUAACCAAACUCCGAAUACCGUGGAGCACAGCACGGCAGACAGACUAUGGGUGCUAAGAUCCGUGGUCGAAAGGGAAACAGCCCAGACCGCCAGCUAAGGUCCCCAAGUUAUGGCUAAGUGGGAAAGCAUGUGAGACGGCCAAGACAACCAGGAGGUUGGCUUAGAGGCAGCCAUCCUUUAAAGAAAGCGUAACAGUUCACUGGUCUAGACAAGCUGUUUUGCGGCGAAGAUUUAACGGGGCUCAAGCCAUACACCGAAGCUGCGGAUCCGGAAGUCUCUUCCGGAUGGUAGCGGAGCGUUCCGUAGGCCUGUGGAGGCGGACCUGUGAGGGCCGCUGGAGGUAUCGGAAGUGAGUAUGCUGACAUGAGUAGCGAUAAAGAGUGUGAGAAACACUCUCGCCGAAAUCCCAAGGGUUCCUGCGCAAGGUUAAUCCACGCAGGGUGAGCCGGCCCCUAAGGCGAGGCCGAAAGGCGUAGUCGAUGGGAACCAGGUCAAUAUUCCUGGGCCUGCCAGAUGUGACGAACUUCGUAGAUUGUCCGGGCUUAUCGGAUUGCUCCGGGCAGUGAAGAAGUUCCAGGAAACAGCUCUGGCAUCAAGACCGUACCCUAAACCGACACAGGUGGGAUGGUAGAGUAUACCGAGGCGCUUGAGAGAACGAUGUUGAAGGAACUCGGCAAAUUGCCUCCGUAACUUCGGAAGAAGGAGGCCCUGUCCGCGGGCAACCGCGGGUGGGGGGCACAGAGCGGGGGGUAGCGACUGUUUACUAAAAACACAGGGCUCUGCUAAGUCGCAAGACGACGUAUAGGGUCUGACGCCUGCCCGGUGCCGGAAGGUUAAGGGGAGGGGUGCAAGCUCUGAACCGAAGCCCCGGUAAACGGCGGCCGUAACUAUAACGGUCCUAAGGUAGCGAAAUUCCUUGUCGGGUAAGUUCCGACCUGCACGAAUGGCGUAACGACUGCCCCGCUGUCUCCAACAUCGACUCAGCGAAAUUGAACUCUCCGUGAAGAUGCGGAGUACCCGCGGUCAGACGGAAAGGCCCCGUGCACCUUUACUACAGCUUUGCAGUGGUA
RNAcentral lists this ribosomal RNA (1976 nucleotides) under bacterium. RNAcentral describes it as "partial 23S ribosomal RNA". It matches the Rfam family "Bacterial large subunit ribosomal RNA", at positions 1 to 2122 of the family's 2925-position model. The record is from RNAcentral.